GCCUGGGUGGCUCAGUCGGUUAAGCGUCUGACUUUGGCUCAGGUCAUGAUCUUGCAGUUUGUGAGUUCGAGCCCCACGUCGGGCU
RNAcentral lists this transfer RNA (85 nucleotides) under Felis catus (domestic cat). It matches the Rfam family "tRNA". From Rfam's summary of the family: Transfer RNA (tRNA) molecules are approximately 80 nucleotides in length. Their secondary structure includes four short double-helical elements and three loops (D, anti-codon, and T loops). Lineage: Eukaryota; Metazoa; Chordata; Mammalia; Carnivora; Felidae. The record is from Rfam by way of RNAcentral.